CUUAAACAGAUUGAACAAGGGAAGAAAGUUGAUGUCUCAAAUCAAAAGCCAGGUAGAGUUGGCUGCAAGCGGAAAGAUUUGGAUCUGUCAAGGGUGGUGACAAUCCCAUUGAACAGAAGGAGAACAUUGCGAGGUCUGUCAAAGGCAUUGGGUGUAAGCUGCAUGACCUUACACUCAAGGUUC
Molecule: ribosomal RNA, 183 nt
Filed under: Triticum aestivum (bread wheat)
Lineage: Eukaryota; Viridiplantae; Streptophyta; Magnoliopsida; Poales; Poaceae
Description: partial small subunit ribosomal RNA
Source: RNAcentral